Molecule: ribosomal RNA, 376 nt
Filed under: uncultured prokaryote
Description: partial 16S ribosomal RNA
Source: RNAcentral
CCCUAUGGGGUGCCGGUGUAGACAUAAAACAGGUAAAUAAGGACUUUAUCCAACAGAAGGAUUAUUGUGAUUGGGUCCUGAAGGCCAGCAAGUUACUGGAGGAGUUUAAGGGUAAAAUAUUAUAUCCCAAGGACGUGGCCAUACCGGUGGAUGAUGAAAGGAAGGAAUUUUCCGUGGAGGAAAUUCCAAACAAGUCUAUAUAUGAUAUCGGCUCAGAUACUAUAAAUGAGUAUGCUAAGAUAAUCAGAGGAGCAGGUACACUAUUUGCUAACGGUCCUGCCGGUGUAUUUGAAGAGGAAGGAUUCAGUAUAGGCACAGAAGAUAUUUUAAACGCCAUAGCAUCCUCACCCGGGCUUUCCAUAAUUGGCGGGAGGGC